AAAAAAGGUAAGCUACUAAGAGCGAAUGGUGGAUGCCUUGACUGGUAAAGGCGAUGAAGGACGUACUAGACUGCGAUAAGCUACGGGGAGCUGUCAAGAAGCUUUGAUCCGUAGAUUUCCGAAUGGGGCAACCCAAUGUAUAGAGAUAUACAUUACCUAUAUAGGAGCGAACGAGGGGAAUUGAAACAUCUUAGUACCCUCAGGAAAAGAAAUCAAUAGAGAUUGCGUCAGUAGCGGCGAGCGAAAGCGCAAGAGGGCAAACCCAGUGCUUGCACUGGGGGUUGUAGGACUGCAAUGUGCAAGAGGUGAGUUUAGCAGAACAUUCUGGAAAGUAUAGCCAUAGAGGGUGAUAGUCCCGUAUGCGAAAAACAAACCUUAGCUAGCAGUAUCCUGAGUAGGGCGGGACACGAGAAAUCCUGUCUGAAGCUGGGUCGACCACGAUCCAACCCUAAAUACUAAUACCAGAUCGAUAGUGCACAAGUACCGUGAGGGAAAGGUGAAAAGAACUGAGGUGAUCAGAGUGAAAUAGAACCUGAAACCAUUUGCUUACAAUCAUUCAGAGCACUAUGUAGCAAUACAGUGUGAUGGACUGCCUUUUGCAUAAUGAGCCUGCGAGUUGUGGUGUCUGGCAAGGUUAAGCAAACGCGAAGCCGUAGCGAAAGCGAGUCUGAAUAGGGCGCUUAGUCAGAUGCUGCAGACCCGAAACGAAGUGAUCUAUCCAUGAGCAAGUUGAAGCUAGUGUAAGAACUAGUGGAGGACUGAACCCAUAGGCGUUGAAAAGCCCCGGGAUGACUUGUGGAUAGGGGUGAAAGGCCAAUCAAACUUCGUGAUAGCUGGUUCUCUCCGAAAUAUAUUUAGGUAUAGCGUUGUGUCGUAAUAUAAGGGGGUAGAGCACUGAAUGGGCUAGGGCAUACACCAAUGUACCAAACCCUAUCAAACUCCGAAUACCUUAUAUGUAAUCACAGCAGUCAGGCGGCGAGUGAUAAAAUCCGUCGUCAAGAGGGAAACAACCCAGACUACCAGCUAAGGUCCCUAAAUCUUACUUAAGUGGAAAACGAUGUGAAGUUACUUAAACAACCAGGAGGUUGGCUUAGAAGCAGCCAUCCUUUAAAGAAAGCGUAAUAGCUCACUGGUCUAGUGAUUUUGCGCGGAAAAUAUAACGGGGCUAAAGUAAGUACCGAAGCUGUAGACUUGAUUUUAUCAAGUGGUAGGAGAGCGUUCUAUUUGCGCCGAAGGUAUACCGGUAAGGAGUGCUGGAGCGAAUAGAAGUGAGCAUGCAGGCAUGAGUAGCGAUAAUUAAUGUGAGAAUCAUUAACGCCGUAAACCCAAGGUUUCCUACGCGAUGCUCGUCAUCGUAGGGUUAGUCGGGUCCUAAGUCGAGUCCGAAAGGGGUAGACGAUGGCAAAUUGGUUAAUAUUCCAAUACCAACAUUAGUGUGCGAUGGAAGGACGCUUAGGGCUAAGGGGGCUAGCGGAUGGAAGUGCUAGUCUAAGGUCGUAGGAGGUUAUACAGGCAAAUCCGUAUAACAAUACUCCGAGAACUGAAAGGCUUUUUGAAGUCUUCGGAUGGAUAGAAGAACCCCUGAUGCCGUCGAGCCAAGAAAAGUUUCUAAGUUUAGCUAAUGUUGCCCGUACCGUAAACCGACACAGGUGGGUGGGAUGAGUAUUCUAAGGCGCGUGGAAGAACUCUCUUUAAGGAACUCUGCAAAAUAGCACCGUAUCUUCGGUAUAAGGUGUGGUUCGCUUCGUAUUAGGAUUUACUCCGAAAGCGAAGAAACUUACAACAAAGAGUCCCUCCCGACUGUUUACCAAAAACACAGCACUCUGCUAACUCGUAAGAGGAUGUAUAGGGUGUGACGCCUGCCCGGUGCUCGAAGGUUAAUUGAUGGGGUUAGCAUUAGCGAAGCUCUUGAUCGAAGCCCGAGUAAACGGCGGCCGUAACUAUAACGGUCCUAAGGUAGCGAAAUUCCUUGUCGGUUAAAUACCGACCUGCAUGAAUGGCGUAACGAGAUGGGAGCUGUCUCAAAGAGGGAUCCAGUGAAAUUGUAGUGGAGGUGAAAAUUCCUCCUACCCGCGGCAAGACGGAGAGACCCCGUGGACCUUUACUACAGCUUGACACUGCUAUUUGGAUAAGAAUGUGCAGGAUAGGUGGGAGGCUUUGAGUAUAUGACGCCAGUUGUAUAUGAGCCAUUGUUGAGAUACCACUCUUUCUUAUUUGGGUAGCUAACCAGCUUGAGUUAUCCUCAAGUGGGACAAUGUCUGGUGGGUAGUUUGACUGGGGCGGUCGCCUCCCAAAUAAUAACGGAGGCUUACAAAGGUUGGCUCAGAACGGUUGGAAAUCGUUCGUAGAGUAUAAAGGUAUAAGCCAGCUUAACUGCAAGACAUACAAGUCAAGCAGAGACGAAAGUCGGUCUUAGUGAUCCGGUGGUUCUGUGUGGAAGGGCCAUCGCUCAAAGGAUAAAAGGUACCCCGGGGAUAACAGGCUGAUCUCCCCCAAGAGCUCACAUCGACGGGGAGGUUUGGCACCUCGAUGUCGGCUCAUCGCAUCCUGGGGCUGGAGCAGGUCCCAAGGGUAUGGCUGUUCGCCAUUUAAAGCGGUACGCGAGCUGGGUUCAGAACGUCGUGAGACAGUUCGGUCCCUAUCUGCCGUGGGCGUAAGAAGAUUGAAGAGAUUUGACCCUAGUACGAGAGGACCGGGUUGAACAAACCACUGGUGUAGCUGUUGUUCUGCCAAGAGCAUCGCAGCGUAGCUAAGUUUGGAAAGGAUAAACGCUGAAAGCAUCUAAGCGUGAAGCCAACUCUAAGAUGAAUCUUCUCUAAGCUCUCUAGAAGACUACUAGUUUGAUAGGCUGGGUGUGUAAUGGAUGAAAGUCCUUUAGCUGACCAGUACUAAUAGAGCGUUUGGCUUAUCUUUAAUAAAGCAU
This 2923-nucleotide ribosomal RNA is filed under the name Campylobacter coli. RNAcentral's name for it is "bacterial LSU rRNA". It matches the Rfam family "Bacterial large subunit ribosomal RNA". Lineage: Bacteria; Pseudomonadati; Campylobacterota; Epsilonproteobacteria; Campylobacterales; Campylobacteraceae. The record is from RNAcentral.